UGCUAUAUAUAUAUAUAUAUGUCCAUUUAAUUAUAUACUUGUGAUAAAAUUUUUAUCGAAAUAUUAUUUUUUUUGAAACGUAAAAUAAAAGAAUAUGACUAACAAUAUACUGUUAAUUCAGUUUAAAAAAAAUUCUUUUAAAUACACGAACACAUCUUUUCAAAUUAACACAAAAUUCUAAUAAUAACUCCCAUAUAGUAUAAACAAAAAUAAAUAAAUAAAUAAAUAAAUAAAAUAAAAAAGGAAAAAGAGAAAAUGGGAAAAGAAAAAAAUAAAUAUGACUCAAAUAAAGCAGAUAAUUUGUCUAUGCACCAGAAAUUUGUAAAACAUAAAAAAAAAAUAAAAAUUAUAAAACAAAAUAGACAACAAAGCAAAUGAUACAAAAAAACCAAAACAAAAUAAUUUACAAUGUAAAUAUUCCCCCCCCCUUUCUUUUUUCUAUUAUUUUAUUUUUUUUUUUUUUUUUAACAUAAAACUUAUAAAAAAAAAAUAAAAAAGGAUCAAUUAGUUGAUGAUUAUUUUCCCGACUUAAAAGACGAAAAGAAAAAAGAAGAGUUAUUGGAAAGAUGUCCAAGAACGGGUGAUUGGGUAUUUAAAAAUAUAAACAGGGACAAAAUAGAUUACGCGAGAAUACAUGAAAGUGACGGUCCUCCUAUAUUUACCGAUUUGGUGGAAAAUGAAUCUAAAAUUGGAACAGUACAUAUUACAAAUCCUAUGCCUAAAAUUGAAAGGAAAAAUGAGUUAAAAAAAAAUUACUUGGAGUGGUUAAAAACGGAGAAGUUAAUGAAACCCAAUGAAAGAAGAUUAGAAUAUGAACUAAUGCAAAAUAAAUACUUAGAAGUAAACAAAAAGAAUAUUACAAAAAACAUUUUUUUUUUACUUCUUAAGUAUAUGACAUGUUAUAUGUGCAUAUAUAUAUAUAUAUAUAUAUUACUAUCACAACUAUAGACUAUACAACUGUCCAAAGACAUAAAACAAGAUGUUAAACUGGCUA
RNAcentral lists this long non-coding RNA (994 nucleotides) under Piliocolobus tephrosceles (Ugandan red Colobus). Its description in RNAcentral is "lncRNA (ENSPTEG00000005039.1)". The record is from RNAcentral. Lineage: Eukaryota; Metazoa; Chordata; Mammalia; Primates; Cercopithecidae.